AGUGAACGCUGGCGGUAAGCCUAACACAUGCAAGUCGAACGGCAGCACAGUAAGAGCUUGCUCUUACGGGUGGCGAGUGGCGGACGGGUGAGGAAUACAUCGGAAUCUACUUUUUCGUGGGGGAUAACGUAGGGAAACUUACGCUAAUACCACAUACGACCUACGGGUGAAAGCAGGGGAUCUUCGGACCUUGCGCGAUUGAAUGAGCCGAUGUCGGAUUAGCUAGUUGGCGGGGUAAAGGCCCACCAAGGCGACGAUCCGUAGCUGGUCUGAGAGGAUGAUCAGCCACACUGGAACUGAGACACGGUCCAGACUCCUACGGGAGGCAGCAGUGGGGAAUAUUGGACAAUGGGCGCAAGCCUGAUCCAGCCAUACCGCGUGGGUGAAGAAGGCCUUCGGGUUGUAAAGCCCUUUUGUUGGGAAAGAAAAGCAGCAGGUUAAUACCCCGCUGUUCUGACGGUACCCAAAGAAUAAGCACCGGCUAACUUCGUG
Molecule: ribosomal RNA, 492 nt
Filed under: uncultured bacterium
Lineage: Bacteria
Description: partial 16S ribosomal RNA
Rfam family: Bacterial small subunit ribosomal RNA
Source: RNAcentral